UACGUAGGGUGCGAGCCUUAAUCGGAAUUACUGGGCGUAAAGAGUGCGCAGGCGGUUCUAUAAGACAGAUGUGAAAUCCCCGGGCUCAACCCGGGAAUGGCCUUGGUGACUGUAGAGCUAGAGUACGGUAGAGGGGGAGGGAAUUCCGCGUGUAGCAGUGAAAUGCGUAGAUAUGCGGAGGAACACCGAUGGCGAAGGCAAUACCCUGGACCUGUACUGACGCUCAUGCACGGAAGCGUGGGGAGCAAACAGGAUUAGAUACCCCCGUAGUCC
Molecule: ribosomal RNA, 273 nt
Filed under: uncultured bacterium
Lineage: Bacteria
Description: partial 16S ribosomal RNA
Rfam family: Bacterial small subunit ribosomal RNA
Source: RNAcentral